UUGGACGAUGCAAAUUGCAAAGAACCAAUCAAUUUGAUUAGGUGAGAGGUUGGCAACUUUGCCUAUAAAUAGAGAUACUUCCCUCUCGGUUUAACACACCAAAACAAAGAGAAGUAGUAAAAGUUAGAAAGAGUAAUCCACAGAUUGUAAUCUGUGAGAUAAAUAGUGAAUGUCAGUAAUAUUGUAGUGAGGUAUUUUAAAUAAAGAGUAUUAUUUCUUUCAAAAUUGUAGUAGUCUCUUGACACUACUAAGUUGUAAUAUUAUAGUUGUAAUAUUGCUCUGCUCGGGUAUUGUAUUUACCUCGCUAAAAGAGUUGGUGUAUGUCGUUGUUACUCUCUUGUAUUAUUAUUAUUUUUCAUGGAUAUUAUUUUUGGGCUGGAUUAUUAUUUUUCCCAACAUUCACUUUAUUUUUCCUCCCUUUUCGAUGUAUUAUUUGAUUAAGUGCAAGUAUGCAACUCAUUCUUCGAAAGCUUGCAAGCUUAAAAGUCUGCCAAUCAGCUUUACCUGCCCUUAUCAAUACAUCCUCUAUCAAAGGUAUCACAUGCACAAGUAUCUGUGUGCAUGAUAUCAGCUUCAUAUGGAUUUCGUACCUAGAGUUAAUUAGCUUAGUUUAGUGCAGCUCAAUUUGCAUAUAGUUGCAUAGAUCAUAUCAUUUAUCAUGUAUGCAUUCUUUUUAGUAAAAGAUCUGUCACAGAGGCAUUUAAGAAUGGGUUUAAAAUGCUUAUGGGGUUUAAGGGGACUCACUCCCUUACUUUAUGUGUAGAUUUUGAGAUUCUGAAGCAGAUAUCGCAGUGGCCUGAGUCUUCGCUAUUCUUGAGAACAGCAGUGGUGAGCCUUUCACAUUAAUUAUCUGUGGAGGGCAUCUUGGGUUUAUGUCUUGUUCACUUUUAUUGGAUGCUAUCCCGUUUCAAUUAUACUUAGAUAUUUUGAUGCUCCAUAUAUUAUUUGGGUUAUGGGAUUCUUUUGGCUGGUAAUGUUGUUGUUAUUAUCUGAAUUGAUAUACUAUCUACCUCAAUCACAUCAGAUGCAUGUUAUAUGUUAUAUUGCUAUACUCGUUUGGAAAUGCUAUUUAAGGGUUUGUAUAAUGGGUAAUAGCUCAUUAACUGUUGGUCACAAUUCGACAAUGUCGAAUCACAACAAAAUAUUAAAGUUUCGAGAGUAAGAAAUAAAACAUACAUUCUCUGUCCAAAAAGGACGCAACCUCUAAUUUUUAGUGUAAACUUGAAUAUAUAAUUUUUUAAAUCUAUUUGAAGUACAAUUUACAAAUUAAAAAUGACAUAAUUCUUCCGUUUUAUUUUAUGUGACAUAUUUAUUAUUUGAAGAAUCAAAUGAAAUAAUUCUUUUUUGAUAAGAUUUUUACAAGUUUUUUAAAUUGUUUUUAACUUGCUAACUACUGUGACUUUGUUUACCCUUGAAACGGAUAAAAAUUAAAUUUAUACGCGAUUUUAAGGAUAUGUGAAUUGAUUCAAUACAAGUAAUUAAGGAAGUUAGAUCAACGAAUUAAGGACAAAAAUAAAUAACCAAACCAGUUGUGACGCUGAGCCGGGCUCGGAUUUAAGCUAAACGAUAGUUAUGCCCUCCGUCGAAUUCUCGGUUCGAAGCCAGAUAUGUAAGAAGAACUAUGAUUAAAAUAAGAACUUUUCAAUAGCUAGAAAGCAUAGAAAAUAGGUUUGUAUUUUUUUGAUAUACGUGUUACAAUGUGUCUAUUAAAUAAAAACUACCCCCUUUAUAUAGUAGGAGAAAUUCACCCCUAGUACAAUUCUAAGUAAGGUAAAAAAUCUUCUUUUUCGUUAAUCACUGAUCCGCUGUCGAUACGGGCCGAGAUCUGCGCCGUGAUAUCCGAUGGGGUGCUGAUAUCGUGGCCCUCUAUUUGUCGUGUGUUAACCGUUAUCGUAUUUUCCGAGGUCUUGGAGCUCGUUCUAGGAUCGGAGAAGUAAUGUCUUACCAAGCCCGGUGGCAACCACUCCGUUCGGACCUUAGUACGACGUGCUCCGGCUUUGAUUCGGACCCCAUAUAAUCAUGCCUUUGCUUUGUUUGACCCACCGAAAAAUGGGGGUGUAGGUUGCCCCCGGUUUUACUCAUAUACAGAUAGUCCCCUCCUUUUUCAGAGAGUAGGUUUAUCGAAAUGAUGGAAAACGAUAGAUGUUUCCCGAUUCCUUCAUUCGUACGUUACAACUGAAACAACAAAGAAGCCUAAACGUCCCAUCAGUCGUGUCGUUCUGACUGCGGACACAUGUCAACCAUCAGCCGGUCGCCCUCGAAUGCAAAACGUCGCAUACUUCCUGUAAGGACCCGUAAAAAUUUAAACCAAAAACUCUGGGUUUCGUACUUCCAAGAUAGAUUCCUGCAUUAUUAUAGUAGAAAUUCUUCGCGGCGAGCUACCUCGCUACGGUUCAAACUUUUUGGAUUGAACAGUACCCCAUAGACUUAGAGGAAAAUAUUUUGCAGAAGAACGUAUUUCUNNNNNNNNNNNNNNNNNNNNNNNNNGGCCAACUUGAGGUCAGUUUUGCAGUCGAUUAUGCGACCGCAUAAUCGAUAUACGGACCGCAUAUCGGUCGCAUAAUUACUCUUGGGUUUUUGCGGAGGGAGUUCUAUGGUGCAUUAUGCGACCGCAGAACGAGUAUGCGGACCGCAUACUGGUCGCAUACCUGAGCCGUAAGUUCAGGCCCCUGAGGGCCAUUUCUGCAGUCACUUUGCAGACCGCAUAACAGUUAUGCGGUCGCAUAUGCGACCGCAGACCUGUGUCGGGGCAUCCAUUUUCUUAAUUUAAAACCCGACCCCCAUUCCGUUAAAACAACCCUUCAACCUAUUUUGAGCUCAUUUUCUGAUACUAUAGAGUGAGAGAGGGAGUUUUAGAGUGAGAAAGUAAUCCUCAUCAAUUAUUCUUCAAUUCUUGCUUGAAACUUUGAAAAUUAUCAAGGAAAAUAAUCUAGGCCUCCAUCCUAGAGGUAAGAAUCUAUACCCUAGCAUAGAUGGGUGUGAGGGUUGUUUAUCUUGCAUGCAUAUGAUAAAGAGUGUGAGAAAAAUAAGAAGUGAACUAGAACCAUGAACGUUUUCGUAAUUUUGGGUUCAAUUUGUAUAUUGCUAAAAUAAAUUGAGGUUGCUAAGGGUUCCGGAUAAUUGUAGAAUCUAAAGAAGCGCAAUUGAGGUAUGUAUGGCUAACUCUUUUCUUCUUAGAAUCGAACUCGUGGUAUCCGAAUAAUUGGUGUAAGUUCUAACUUGAUCAUUCUAGAAUUGUUUGCCUUAGUGUGUUGAAUUGAAAGAUUCAUGUUCCCUAAUUGUUUUAGAUGGUUACCAUGUCAUCAUGCUAUUUGAGAACGAAAUCAUGAUUUUCCAAGCUCCUUUCCCUAUGUGUGAAAUGCAUUAUGUGAUGGUACUUAUCAAUAUGAGUAAUGAUGUUAUUUGAACGAAUACAAAAGGAAAGACUUGAAUUGUAAAAUAGUCCCAAGUGCCAAGAACUACUUAAUAAAUGAGGUUGUUUGUGCCAUGUAACGAAAGAUGGGAAAGAGAUGUGAAUUGAGUGAGCAAUUGAAAGAGGUUAUGUCUCAAGUGAGAUGGCUUAGCCGAUCGGGCCGAGAUCGGACGCCAUGCUGUACAUGUGAUGGCAUUUGUGUUAAAAUUAUUGAUUUACAUUGUGGAUAUAGAUAUGUCUCACUUGAGAUGGCUUAGCCGAGACCGGACUCCGUGUAAAAAUACAGUGGCAUUAUGAGUUGUGGAUUUGGCACUAAAGAUUAUUAACCUAAAAAGAUGGAAAGAUUGAAUUGGAAAUUAUGUGAUCCUUAAUUGGUGUUUCCUUGUAUUUCUGUAAAGUACUUAUUGAUUUUUAUCACUGCCUUCUCUUUGUUUCAUUGUUCAUUCUACUAAGAUUGGUGUUUGCCUUACAUAUUAGUACUAUUCGACAGUACUAACGUCCCUUUUACCGGGGGCGCUACAUCUUUGGAUGGAUGUAGGUGGUUCCGUCGCAGAUAAUGCCGAUCGCAGAUAGUGGUGCUCUCUUUCUCUCCUCACAGCAGUCUUGGUGAGCCCCAUUCCUCCGAGGGUUCAUGUAGUCCUUCUUUUGUAUAAGUUUUCAUAUUUUGAGGUAUAGCCGGGGCCUUGUUGCCGGCAUUGUCAUGUUGCUCAUUUGCACCCUUAGAGGCUCCGUAGAUGUUUAUGUAGGUCAUGUAUGUAUGUUGGGGUGGUCGUUGGAUCGAGUUGUAUUUUGGAAACUCAACUAUGGCAUAAUAUAUAUAAGGAAAAAAUGAACUAGCA
Molecule: long non-coding RNA, 4251 nt
Filed under: Nicotiana tabacum (common tobacco)
Lineage: Eukaryota; Viridiplantae; Streptophyta; Magnoliopsida; Solanales; Solanaceae
Description: long non-coding RNA (NTAB_LNC012361)
Source: RNAcentral